This 774-nucleotide ribosomal RNA is filed under the name uncultured Neocallimastigales. RNAcentral describes it as "partial large subunit ribosomal RNA". It matches the Rfam family "Eukaryotic large subunit ribosomal RNA", at positions 22 to 616 of the family's 3401-position model. The record is from RNAcentral. Lineage: Eukaryota; Fungi; Neocallimastigomycota; Neocallimastigomycetes; Neocallimastigales.
CUAUACAUGACUCUGCGCAUAUCAAUAAGCGGAGGAAAAGAAACUAACAAGGAUUCCCCUAGUAACGGCGAGUGAAGCGGGAAGAGCUCAAAUUUGAAAUCUUAAAGGGUUUCCCUUUACGAAUUGUAGUUUAAAGAAGUGUUUUCUGUUGAGGUUUUGGUAAAAGUUCUUUGGAAUAGGACAUCAUAGAGGGUGAGAAUCCCGUAUUUGACCUUUACUUUCAACUUUGUGAUACACUUUCAAAGAGUCGGAUUGUUUGGGAAUGCAGUCCAAAAUGGGUGGUAAAUUUCAUCUAAAGCUAAAUAUUGGCGAGAGACCGAUAGCGAACAAGUACCGUGAGGGAAAGAUGAAAAGAACUUUGAAAAGAGAGUUAAACAGUACGUGAAAUUGUCAAAAGGGAAGCGUUUGACACCAGUGUUGUUUUUCUGAAAAUCAAUUAAAGAACUGUUUAUGCUAAGCUGUUUAGACUUUAUCAGCUAUCUGCUUAGUUUUGAGCUUUUCUUUAAUGCACUUUUCAGUUAACAAGUCAACAUCAAUUUCUUUUGCUGUAAAAAAGCUUGAGGAAGGUGGCUUGAGAUUCGUCUUAAGUGUUUAUAGCCUCUUGCCUAUGCAGUCGGAGAGAUUGAGGUCUGCAGCGUAGAUCCUUCGGGGCUAAAUGCAUUCGUGCUAAGUUAUAGCAUUUUAUAGACAACUUGUUGACUAUGAUUUGUCUUGUAGCUUACUCGCUUAUGUUAUUUUACCUACGCUUAGGAUGUUGAGCGCAUGUCUCUCUCU